Molecule: unclassified non-coding RNA, 197 nt
Filed under: uncultured Pezizales
Lineage: Eukaryota; Fungi; Ascomycota; Pezizomycetes; Pezizales
Description: sequence contains ITS1
Source: RNAcentral
AACGAACUUGUGUAUAUCCUUGAUAUAUAUCAAUUCAAACCCACUCUGUGUAUUAUUCCAUGUUGCUUCCAUGAGGCGUGAUUUGCUCAUACCACCUUUAGGCUUUCGAGUCUGGGAGGAGAGUCCUUGUGGAAGGUCUUCAUUAAACCACUUGCCAUCAAUGCUAUUAGUCUGACUGUUUAUAAAUUAAACAUUUA